This is a long non-coding RNA of Neofelis nebulosa (Clouded leopard), 1336 nucleotides long. RefSeq lists it as uncharacterized. NCBI's taxonomy places the organism in Eukaryota, Metazoa, Chordata, Mammalia, Carnivora, Felidae. The record is from RefSeq and is a predicted model, not a curated record. The transcript is spliced from 5 exons.
GGGGAAAAGGUUCCUCCAGCUCUCGGAGUCUCUGGCACACCCGGUUAUAGCACAGCUGUGCGGACGUCACACUCUCUUGGCUGCAGGCGCCUGCAAGAGGCUGUUUUUCAAAGGUGUGGCAAAGGAGGCAGCAGGUCCUGGAACCGCACGGAUCUGGGUCCAAGUUCCGGCUCUGCCAUUCAUCAGUGUCCCAACCUGAGGACUGCUACCUAGCUUUCUGCCAUGCAUAAACGAGCAAACACCAUAAACGAGAAAACCACCACCUUCCAGGGGUGGUCAACAACCUGGCCUUUCAUCACUGUGUCUGCUUGCCUGGCACACACACCCCCUCAGAUGGGAGGGGACCCUACCACUCUGUCACCCAGUCUUGGCCAUUUGGACCCUCUCGCUGGAAUCUGAGCGUCCACUGCAAGGACCCAUGGGCCCUUGGUAUUGGUUAAUUCCAAUGGCCCCACCUGACAAGCAAACCACUGGUUCCUUCUCCCACAGCCCAGAGUUCUCCCACUCCACCGCCUAAGGAUCUGCUUCAUCAGUUUUACUAGGCAUCUGGAACCUAAUGUGAUGAAACACCUAAGUUGGGUCAAAAGUAAUACACAGACCUCCGCUGGCUGUCCACACAAGGGCAGAAGGCACAGUUCAAAGGGCCUGAGGAUUUUGUUUUCCUGUGCACAGAAGACCCCCUCUCCACUCCGCAUCUCCAAGCCCUUGUCCUCCAGGCUCAUUCUGCACCCGUCACUCUGCCUGUAACUUACAGUGAUUCUCCCCUUUCACUGGGAGAAGCAGCCGGUGACUUGGGGGCUGGAUCCUCUCAUUAUCCCAUUGAGCAGAGGAGAAGACAAGCUCAGCGAGGCUAAGCGGCACUGCCACCACCUCGAUUCAAACCUUGUCCUCUUCACCACUGUCCCAUCCACCCCGUCACCCUCACGCCGCCUCCAGCAGGCAUCUGCGUCUCUGGAUCCGAGCACAGCCACCCUUGGAGGACACGCAUCCCCCGCCCACCCCCCCUUCCCACCAAGACGCUAAGUACACGGCUGGCAAUCAUGGGUGAUAUCUGUGACAUUGCACACGAGCCUCCUUUUAUCUUUUCCAGCUCCCUUUGUUUAUAUAUCAAAUGGAACAGCACUCACCCUCUUCAAAGGGAGAAGGAGAGGCAGUGAUGUGGAAUGAAUCUCUUAGAAGUAGAAUUUGACGGCGACUGAAAGAUUUAUCCAAAUGAGAGGGUACGAGGACCGGUCACAUGCCUGUCAUUUAUAGCAUCGUGAUGGGCUCUAUGCCAUUAACUUUUAAUUAACUCAAUUAGAACAGAAUGUCUGACACCACAAUGAGCACAUACAAA